CGGGGGGACCAGGCGCGUGAACCGGUAAACCGCCCCCUCCCCGCCCGCCCUGCGUCCCGACGCCGCCGCUCCGACGCCCGUCGAGACGAGUACCAGUCGAAGACACAGCUUUCUUCCGAACGCAAGUCGCUCUCUCACCUGCUUUUUCGUCUCCGAAGACGACGUCGACUCUAAAACUACGUUCACGCCAAUUUCUCCUCACGCGCACAGAUCGCGCUUUCCUUCUCUCUCGAGUCAGUCCGCGAAACUUUUUCUUAUCACUGAUAACGCGACGGCUUAUCAGAGUCGUCCUGUGCUCGGGUUGUUUCCCGCGGGAAUUGUGAAGUGUCCCCCUAAAAGUUUUCUCUCCCGGUGUUUUUUUUUAAAUUUUAUUCCUACUGGUGGUAAAAGUUCACGCGCCUGAGUUUCGCGCAAAUAUGGGAAGUGUUUUGACAAAGUUCUGAUCGAUUGUGCGCGUGUGUGUAGGUGUGGUGCUUUAUCCUCGUCCUGCGUCGCUCAUGAAUAAAAAAGGUGAGGCCUUUUUUGAUGACGUCACUAAAGCUGUUUCCUGGCUCUCGCAACCUCUCUUAUCAACACAGAAACAGGCGCAUUUUUGUUGCAUCCUUUUUGGAUCGAGGAUCAAGCUGGCUCGGCAGUGGCAAACUAUGCUGCGCUCGAUUUUUCAGACGCAACUCAUAUAACGAGCUUGGGCACUCCCGCUCCGUCUUCCCUCCGCACCAACCAUCAACGACUCAAGGUAAACUCUACAUAUCUUUUAUCUAAUGGAAUCUAUAGACAAAGCUAUGUACAAUAGAUAUUAUAGGGAACGUGGAGCGAUCCUAUUGUUUGUAAUACUUUAUUUUUUAUUUGAUUUUAUUUAUUUUUUAUUUGAUUUUAUUUAUUUAUUUAUCUAUUUAUUAUUUAUUUAUCUAUCCAUUUAUUUAUUUAUUUAUUUAUUUAUUUUUUAACACAUUUUAAUGUCUUGAAAACUUCUUUGAUUUUUCCUCUGGAUAAGCAGAAUAUUCUUCGAAAAUUUCAAGUUGCAAAGUUUGCUUCUUUCUCUCGAAAAAAGUAAAAUAUUUGAAAGUAUUUGAAGUUUUUGAAACCGCAACGGAGAUACGUGGAUUACGUGGCCAUCGAUAAUCUCACUAACAUACAAAUAAAGGCCUUAGAAUUACAUCU
Molecule: long non-coding RNA, 1161 nt
Filed under: Bemisia tabaci
Lineage: Eukaryota; Metazoa; Arthropoda; Insecta; Hemiptera; Aleyrodidae
Description: lncRNA ENSSSA3NGG000634
Source: RNAcentral